UACGGAGGAUGCAAGCGUUAUCCGGAAUGAUUGGGCGUAAAGCGUCCGCAGGUGGCUGUGUAAGUCUGCUGUCAAAGAGCAAAGCUCAACUUUGUAAAGGCAGUGGAAACUACACGGCUAGAGUGCGUUCGGGGCAGAGGGAAUUCCUGGUGUAGCGGUGAAAUGCGUAGAUAUCGGGAGGAACACCAGUGGCGAAGGCGACUACCUGGCCUGUUUCUUGACGCUGAGGCGCGAAAGCUAGGGGAGCAAACGGG
RNAcentral lists this ribosomal RNA (254 nucleotides) under uncultured bacterium. Its description in RNAcentral is "partial 16S ribosomal RNA". It matches the Rfam family "Bacterial small subunit ribosomal RNA", at positions 524 to 776 of the family's 1533-position model. The record is from RNAcentral.